GCUAAGAAUAUUCCGCAAUGGACGGAAGUCUGACGGAGCGACGCCGCGUGGAUGACGAAGGCCGAAAGGUUGUAAAGUUCUUUUGCUGGGGAAGAAUAACCGCAGGAGGGAAUGCCUGUGGGAUGACAAGAACCGGCGAAUAAGCUCCGGCCAACUACGUGCCAGCAGCCGCGGUAACACGUAGGGGGCGAGCGUUGUUCGGAAUUACUGGGCGUAAAGGGCAUGUAGGCGGCUUGGAAAGCCUGGCGUGAAAGUCUGCAGCUUAACUGCAGGGGUGCGCUGGGAACUGCUGAGCUUGAGUGACGGAGAGGGAGCUGGAAUUCCUGGUGUAGGGGUGAAAUCUGUAGAUAUCAGGAAGAACACCGAUGGCGAAGGCAAGCUCCUGGCCGAUGACUGACGCUGAGGUGCGAAAGUGUGGGGAUCAAACAGGAUUAGAAACCCUAGUGUCC
Molecule: ribosomal RNA, 449 nt
Filed under: uncultured bacterium
Lineage: Bacteria
Description: partial 16S ribosomal RNA
Rfam family: Bacterial small subunit ribosomal RNA
Source: RNAcentral